This is a long non-coding RNA of Megalobrama amblycephala (Wuchang bream), 1205 nucleotides long. RefSeq lists it as uncharacterized. NCBI's taxonomy places the organism in Eukaryota, Metazoa, Chordata, Actinopteri, Cypriniformes, Xenocyprididae. The record is from RefSeq and is a predicted model, not a curated record. The transcript has 2 exons.
AGCACCUGUAGAUCACAAAUAGCAGUCGAACUAAAUAAACAAACUCUCUGCGAUCAAUGUUUUCAACCUUACUGUCAAAAAGUUUUAUCACAAUCAGUAAUACACUGAUCCUAAAUGACAAUCCUUCACCUUGAACAGUUGUUUGAUGAUAAUAUUUUCCACAAGAGCUUUAGAAAAAUGUCAAAAGACUAGAUCAAGCAUGAAUGUAAAUGCUCGUAUUUGUGAGGUUGAAGUACAAGUGUGCAACUAGGAAGAUGCCAUAUGAAUAUGAAUGCAUAACAUGAAUGAAAGUGUAUUUCAAGUAGAAUUGAAGAUGCUUUAAGUCUCCAUUUUGGUGUAGCUACAGAAUAUAACUGUUGAAGCUAGCUAGUAACCAGGCAAACCUCUCUCGUUCAACCAAUGGCGUGAGUUUGAGGCGGGACUACCUGUUUCAUUGACCAAUGGUAAAUAGGGAAAACUGUGUUUGGGAAAUCUGUUUAAAAGAAGAUUGUCUGCAGUUCUGUUUGGUUCAGCUCUAUGGUCAUGAAGAGAUCUGGUAUUCAAACGACACUUUUAAGUCUGCAGAUCUCUAGAGAGUGGGUGCAAAUGAUUGUAAAAAAAACAACAUUGUGUGAUCACAUAAUUACAGGUUCUUUCUUUUGUGAAAGUCUUGUCCUUUACUUUUCUGUAAGAUGACUCCCUUUCUGCUCUGUCACUCUCUCAGAGCCUCGUUACACUCAAUAAUUCAAUCAGGAUGUACUCAGAAGAUGAUUAAAGUCUAAUUUGGGAAGCUCUUAAGCACAUCUGUCAGAGGUGUUGAGAAUCGCUCGCCCCGUCUCAGUUUUCCAGGAACUGCUCUGUGGCCGUAGCUCUGCUGGUCAGCAGUCAUGUGACUCAACCACAACCAAAACCCCCACCCAACGCACAGGAGCACGUGCACAGCUCUCUCAGUACAGCUGUGCAGGAGAUCCGUCAUGUGCAGCAUCUGCCCGGGACUGUCCGAACGAGUCCUAUCCCAACACACCAAGGUCAUCUGCAUGUGAGAGCGUACGAACGCACGUACGGGGCUUUGAAAAACAGAUCGCUUCAUAUCUGUAUGAGCCAGAGAUGUUACGUAACAGUCUCAGGAUACAUGACAGACUGCCAUUUAAUGUCUACACCAGACAAAGGGUAAAAUAUGUUAAGCGAAGGUAACUAAAGACAAUAAACAAAGUCAUAAAAAAAAA